RNAcentral lists this ribosomal RNA (433 nucleotides) under uncultured bacterium. RNAcentral describes it as "partial 16S ribosomal RNA". It matches the Rfam family "Bacterial small subunit ribosomal RNA", at positions 29 to 507 of the family's 1533-position model. The record is from RNAcentral.
AACGAACGCUGGCGGCAUGCCUAACACAUGCAAGUCGAACGAGACCUUCGGGUCUAGUGGCGCACGGGUGCGUAACGCGUGGGAACCUGCCCUUAGGUUCGGAAUAACCCCCCGAAAGGGGUGCUAAUACCGGAUAAUGUCUUCGGACCAAAGAUUUAUCGCCUUUGGAUGGGCCCGCGUUGGAUUAGCUCGUUGGUAGGGUAAAAGCCUACCAAGGCGACGAUCCAUAGCUGGUCUGAGAGGAUGAUCAGCCACACUGGGACUGAGACACGGCCCAGACUCCUACGGGAGGCAGCAGUGGGGAAUAGUGGACAAUGGGCGAAAGCAUGAUCCAGCAAUGCCGCGUGAGUGAUGAAGGCCUUAGGGUUGUAAAGCGCUUGUACCCGGGAUGAUAAUGACAGUACCGGGAGAAUAAGCUCCGGCUAACUCCGUG